Molecule: ribosomal RNA, 468 nt
Filed under: uncultured bacterium
Lineage: Bacteria
Description: partial 16S ribosomal RNA
Rfam family: Bacterial small subunit ribosomal RNA
Source: RNAcentral
GACGAACGCUGGCGGCGUGCUUAACACAUGCAAGUCGAACGGAAAGGCCCUGCUUUUGCGGGGUGCUCGAGUGGCGAACGGGUGAGUAACACGUGAGUAACCUGCCCUUGACUUUGGGAUAUCUUCAGGAAACUGGGGCUAAUACCGGAUAGGAGCUCCUGCUGCAUGGGGGGGGUUGGAAAGUUUCGGCGGUUGGGGAUGGACUCGCGGCUUAUCAGCUUGUUGGGGGGGUAGUGGCUUACCAAGGCUUCGACGGGUAGUCGGCCUGAGAGGGUGACCGGGCACAUUGGGACUGAGGUACGGCGCAGACUCCUACGGGAGGCAGCAGUGGGGAGUAUUGCACAAUGGGCGGAAGCCUGAUGCAGCAACGCCGCGUGCGGGAUGACGGCCUUCGGGCUGUAAACCGCUUUCGCCUGUUACGAAGCGUGAGUGACGGUAAUGGGUAAAGAAGCACCGGCUAACUACGUG